CCCUUAGAUGUUCUGGGCUGCACGCGUGUUACAAUCGGGAGUACAACAAGAUUGCAAAUCCUAGUGGAUGAGUGGUUCUUCGAAAUUUUCUGAAGACUGGGAUAGUUGAUUGAAAUUAUUCAACUCAAACGAGGAAUUCCUUGUAAUUGUAAUUCAUUAUAUUGUAAUGAAUACGUCCCUGCCCUUUGUACACACCGCCCGUCGCUCCUACCGAUUUCGAGUGAUUCGGUGAACCUUUUGGACAGCGUCUGUCCUCGUGUCAGAUGCUGAAAGUCAAGUAAACCAUAUCACUUAGAGGAAGGAGAAGUCGUAACA
RNAcentral lists this ribosomal RNA (315 nucleotides) under uncultured eukaryote. RNAcentral describes it as "partial 18S ribosomal RNA". It matches the Rfam family "Eukaryotic small subunit ribosomal RNA", at positions 1470 to 1796 of the family's 1831-position model. The record is from RNAcentral.